Molecule: long non-coding RNA, 339 nt
Organism: Rhinichthys klamathensis goyatoka
Lineage: Eukaryota; Metazoa; Chordata; Actinopteri; Cypriniformes; Leuciscidae
Exons: 2
Source: RefSeq, a predicted model, not a curated record
AAUAUUAAUACGCAAUUUCCUGUGUAAGAGCAUACUGCUUGUGUUGAUCUUCACUUCAUAAUUUCCAGACUGAUCUCUUCGGAUGUUUGUGAUGGCGAGGUCUCCAGUUUGAUCAUUGCGGUGAAUGUUACUCCAUUUCGCGUCAACGUGGCCGGUUAAGUCUUGAUCUCCAGACUUCCACAGUAUCUGAUCAUCUCUCGGUGUUGGAGUAACACCAGUGUGUAGAGUGACAGUAUCUCCCUCAGUCACUGAAACUGACUUCACUCCAUCUGUACCAACAAAAAACACAUCUGGAGAACACACGGAAAUGGUUUAAUCUUAUGCUGCAAGUCACUUUCA